Molecule: non-coding RNA, 2790 nt
Organism: Zonotrichia albicollis (white-throated sparrow)
Lineage: Eukaryota; Metazoa; Chordata; Aves; Passeriformes; Passerellidae
Source: RefSeq, a predicted model, not a curated record
UGGUGGGAGAAGUGAAGUCAGUAGCAGGACGUGUGUGGCUGCCCCGUGCUCUGCCCUCCUUGCUGGAUGUUGUGGACACUCAGAGCUGAUGGUACUGAAGGGUUAAAGAGGAAAUGGGAGAGGCUGUGGAUUCCCAGAUAAAAUAUUCGGGGAGUUUGUGCUCUGACAGCUCUGUCCUUGUCUCUGGUACAAAAGGCCUUGAAUCAGCGGAAUGCCUCAGGUGGAGAUCCAGGGGGAUGGAUCUGCUCCCUGCCUCCUGGAUUUUUUCCCUGCUUGCUCUCAGUGUAUGUGCUAAGUGCCCAUAAGCUGCCUCCCUUCAUCUCCUUAGGCACAUGGAAUGGACCACACUGUCCAGAGGUAGGAGAUGAGAAUUCCCCAGGAAAUCAGGAUUCUCUCCUGGGAAAGAUGGAUAAACCCCACGGUGUACCAGCAGGGGCUGGAAUAUUCCCCACAUCCUGCUAGAUCUCUGCUAAUCAGAAAAGAAAAGAGAUCCUCUGCUCAGAAGGGAAUAAAGACAUCCUGAGGGAUAAUCCAGCAGAGCCACGAGCCCUCUGCCACCUCGCAGGAUUUUCAGUUCUGUGGGAGCUAAACCUCAGAAAAAAGAGCAAUUUUCUUCUUCCUGGAUGGCCUGAAGGUAACAAAGCUGCCCUGUGCCAGAGCAGCUGCAGGGAUGGGAGCACAUUUCUCAGUUAUUGGAGCAGGGAAUUGUGCUGGGAUUCCUGGGUUCUUUCCCCAGCUCUGCCUUUGAUUUGUGGCGUGUGCAGACCCCUUAAUUUGUUUCUGUUUUCCCCAUCUGUGAAACUGAGAUAAGAUCACAGGGGAAUUGUAAAGUGUGCUUCAUUAAUGUUUAUUAGACAGGGGGAAAUCCUUCAAUGAAUGGCUCUGUAUUCCAGGAGGACAAAGUUCAGCACUGCAAAGGGGUUGAUUAAAACCAAAUCUGCUAUUCCCAGGCUGGGAGGACAAAAAAAAUAAAAGGAAAAAAAAAAAGAGAAUUGAAAAACCUUACCUAGCCCUGUGUCUGCCAAAAGAAAGAUGUGAUUUAAAUAAAAUCAUGCAGACUGCAAGUGUGUCUGCAUAAAUGUGUGUCUAUUAAAACCAUUAAAUAUUUCUUGGCAAACACACAGCAAAAAGUGAAAUAAGGGUGUGUUUGCAGUUUCAAAUGUGUAUAUGAUCACCAUUAACUGUAAAUUACCAGUGGCAACAUGACAUAAGUAAAUGGUGAUUCAAUAAAUUUGGUAUUUUCCAUAAAGGAGUGUACCAACAUAGAGUGUAUUGGCACAUUCCACUAUUUUUGUCAGACUGUCACAACCCUGUUUAGUGUGGGAUUUUACAAUGCCUGCUUGUUGGCAGACUAAACAAUUAUUUGUAGGUUAGACAGAGCUAACUGAUGGAACUGAUGGAAUAUGUUCCAAGCCUCAGAGUGCAUGUUCCUAGUGGGGAAAUAUUUCUCCCAUUGUGCCAGAGGCAAAAAUUGAGGGAAUUUGGGAUAACCAGACUCAGUGGGUGGCCUGAAUUUGCUCCUGGUGUGACACCAAAUUUACUGUGUGCUUCUUUUCACUGAUAGAGCCCAAUGGAGGGUGAAAAACAGCGUGUGAGGGGAGAAAGGACUGAGCUACGGGCAAAAUUCACCAUAAAAAUCGCAUUUUGGGGAAAGCAGGGGAGCUGGACUGCGGCUGGUGUGUGUUCAGCGUUCUGUGUAUGCCAUCUUCAGGCCGGCUGUGAACUCACAGGCGGAGCAGCAGCGCCUUCAUUUGUUCAUCACAGCGAGUUUUGGGUUAUUCAUGUCCUUAAAAAUCACAUUUGUUACCCGGAGCACAACACAGCGAUACCUGCACGUACCAGAGGGACUUUGAUUAUUUAUUUCAGCUUUGACAAGCCUGGGUGAACCUCACAGAGCAGGCAGCCCAACCAUCAAAACUUUUUACUGUUUACACAUUUUACCACACAAAGGAAUUAGUGUUCAUUUGCCACCAGUCACACAGUCCACUUGUUAAUUAGUGUUCUAUCUUCUACCGGUUAAUGAUUUGCUUCUGACGCUAAUUAGUGCUGUGCUGAGUCCUUCUCUUUGGGGUCAGUGGGUUUCUUGGGUGGGUGGUCACAGAAUUACCAGAAUUACCUUUUACCCGCUUGGAGCUCAUUUGGGUUUAUCAGUUUCUUCCACAUCUUGGCAGUUCUGCCAGAUGUCCCCUAAAUUCUGCAUUCUUUGUGUCCACUACCAAUGGUACCCUUUUUUUCCCCACAGCUUUGUUAAGCUGCCGCUAAGUCUGAGAUCAUUGGAGUGUAUCCAAGGCUAAACUUUUAAAAUUCUACCAAGUAAUUUGUUUUUUUCUAACACAUCACUUAGAGCUUGUUGGCCGCUCCCUGUUUCAGAGAUUGAAUCUCAUCUCUUGUUGAUUAGGCUUGAAAGUAUAAAAAGAUAAAACAUCAAAGUGCUUUUUCUCUCUCAAGGAAGAAGUUUUAGUGCAGCAGGUUUGUUUAUCAAUAUUUUACUAUUUUCUACAUGUGUAGAGUUGUGUUUUGUUCAAUAUUGUGUAACAGCCUAAUGUAACACAUUAUGACACUUAGCUGACCUAUGGAAAGAGAGUAUUACUUUAAUGCAACACAAAUGACAUUUAGCUGACCUAUGGAAAUUAUUUAUAACAGAAUUCGAGAUGGUUUCUUCUCCCUUAGAUUUUAGAAUGUGUUUUCCUAAUCAGGGUCGUUCCAUCAGGACAUUUACGUGUGGACUCAAGGCUCAGGUUUUGUCACAAAAUACAUCUGAGCAGGCUGAUCUAGCGGGAUCAUUGAUUU